This 71-nucleotide transfer RNA is filed under the name Heterocephalus glaber (naked mole-rat). It matches the Rfam family "tRNA". Rfam says of the family: Transfer RNA (tRNA) molecules are approximately 80 nucleotides in length. Their secondary structure includes four short double-helical elements and three loops (D, anti-codon, and T loops). Lineage: Eukaryota; Metazoa; Chordata; Mammalia; Rodentia; Bathyergidae. The record is from Rfam by way of RNAcentral.
GGGGGUGUAGCUCAGUGGUAGAGCACAUGCUUAGAUGCACAAGGACUUGGGUUCAAUACUCAGCACCACUC